ACGGGAGGCAGCAGUGGGGAAUAUUGCACAAUGGGGGAAACCCUGAUGUAGCGACGCCGCGUGAGUGAAGAAGUAUUUCGGUAUGUAAAGCUCUAUCAGCAGGGAAGAUAAUGACGGUACCUGACUAAGAAGCCCCGGCUAACUACGUGCCAGCAGCCGCGGUAAUACGUAGGGGGCAAGCGUUAUCCGGAUUUACUGGGUGUAAAGGGAGCGUAGACGGUUUGGCAAGUCUGAAGUGAAAGCCCGGGGCUCAACCCCGGUAUUGCUUUGGAAACUGUUGAACUAGAGUGCCGGAGGGGUAAGCGGAAUUCCUAGUGUAGCGGUGAAAUGCGUAGAUAUUAGGAGGAACACCAGUGGCGAAGGCGGCUUACUGGACGGUAACUGACGUUGAGGCUCGAAAGCGUGGGGAGCAAACAGGAUUAGAUACCCUGGUA
This 434-nucleotide ribosomal RNA is filed under the name uncultured Clostridium sp. RNAcentral's name for it is "partial 16S ribosomal RNA". It matches the Rfam family "Bacterial small subunit ribosomal RNA", at positions 341 to 792 of the family's 1533-position model. Lineage: Bacteria; Bacillati; Bacillota; Clostridia; Eubacteriales; Clostridiaceae. The record is from RNAcentral.